GACGAACGCUGGCGGCGCGCCUAACACAUGCAAGUCGAACGAGCGAGAGAGAGCUUGCUUUCUCGAGCGAGUGGCGAACGGGUGAGUAACGCGUGAGGAACCUGCCUCAAAGAGGGGGACAACAGUUGGAAACGACUGCUAAUACCGCAUAAGCCCUCGGUGCCGCAUGGCACAGAGGGAAAAGGAGCAAUCCGCUUUGAGAUGGCCUCGCGUCCGAUUAGCUAGUUGGUGAGGUAAUGGCCCACCAAGGCGACGAUCGGUAGCCGGACUGAGAGGUUGAACGGCCACAUUGGGACUGAGACACGGCCCAGACUCCUACGGGAGGCAGCAGUGGGGAAUAUUGCACAAUGGGGGAAACCCUGAUGCAGCGACGCCGCGUGGAGGAAGAAGGUCUUCGGAUUGUAAACUCCUGUUGUUGGGGAAGAUAAUGACGGUACCCAACAAGGAAGUGACGGCUAACUACGUG
RNAcentral lists this ribosomal RNA (466 nucleotides) under uncultured bacterium. RNAcentral's name for it is "partial 16S ribosomal RNA". It matches the Rfam family "Bacterial small subunit ribosomal RNA", at positions 28 to 507 of the family's 1533-position model. The record is from RNAcentral.